Molecule: long non-coding RNA, 3073 nt
Filed under: Medicago truncatula (barrel medic)
Lineage: Eukaryota; Viridiplantae; Streptophyta; Magnoliopsida; Fabales; Fabaceae
Description: long non-coding RNA (MTRU_LNC000887)
Source: RNAcentral
GAAUUGAAUAUAAAGACUUCAUAUUUUUAUUUUUUGAUAAUCAAACAACUUCAUUAAACAACAGAAGUAUUACAAGAGACAAACAUCAUUCAAAGGAAGGGGAUAUCCCAACCAAGACUUGUUCCCUACUUGCAUAGCAUAACCUACAAUUCUAUGGGCUAAAACAUUCAAAUCUCUACCAAUAAAGUUAACAGAAACCUUACUAAAAGCAUUCAUAAUAGUUUAACAAUCUGCCACAAUGUGUUCAAUACUAGCAAUAGAAUUAGAGCCCCUAAUGCAUUCCACUACAGCCAACGCAUCUGACUGCACAACAAUUUCUUUAAUUCUUGGGUUAAUGGUGUUUUACCUCCUGUAAUAUAGGUCAUUUUUGGUUUUCCCCCCUGUAAUAUAGGUCAUUUUUGGUUUUCCGCCCUGUAAAAUAUUUUUUUUGAUUUACCCCCUGUAAAAAAAAAAAAAUUGGAAUACCCCCCUAAUAGGUCAUAAAAAAACGAAAAAGUUAUGCAAAAAAAAUAAUAAAGUCGUUUUUUUAUGACCUAUUAGGGGGGUAUUCCAAAAAAAAAAUAUUUUACAGGGGGUAAAUCAAAAAAAAUAUUUUACAGGGGAGAAAACCAAAAAUGACCUAUAUUACAGGGGGGUAAAGCACCAUUAACCCUUAAUUCUUUGAUCCUUCGCAAGCUGCAUACACCAUCGGAUGCCAAGAGCUUCAGCAGUUUUAGGAUCAGCUGUCAUUUGUUCCUUUUUGCAAGCUGAGAAUGUUGUUAAACUUGUAUAGUCCUUGAACACGCAAACAUACGCAGUAUAGCCGUCCGAGAAACAACCUGCAUCAACAGAAAUCACAUGAGCAUGAGAAAUUUGAACUUGGCUCCUGUUGUGCGCCAUGCUUCCUACUCUUCGUCUUCUUUGGGACAGCUUCAUUAAAAUCCACAACAAAAUCCCUUGCUGCAUUAGCUAUCUCAGGGGGAAAGGGAUUAGCUUGAUUGAAAAUAAUUUGAUUUCUAGCAUACAACAGUUUCCACAUAAUUGAACAAAAGAUUUGGGCUCCUAAAGUAUCCUUGCCCAUGAGCCAUUUGUGAAGCCAUUGAUUUAAGGUAGAGUCUAAUGGAACAUGGACCCCAAGGCUAGAUGAGAACCAUACAACCUGUGCAAAGUUACAUCGCAUGAAGAGGUGUUCUGAUGUUUCCGGUUCAAGGUUGCAAAGCGGGCACACAGAGUCAAUUUUAAUUCCUUUUUUACACAGGUUUCCUCUUGUAGGUAAGAUAUUUUUUGCCGUUCUCCAAAGAAAAUUAUUGACCCUAUUUGGGAGGUUGAUACUCCAAAUUCCUUUCCACGGUUUGUCAUUUGUAGUAGAUGAAGCUGGUAAUUCUUUCCUUCUUUCCUCUCCCAACAGGUGGUAAGCUGACCGGACUGAGUACUUUCCAUCUUUCUCUCCAUCCCAUAUAAAUGUAUCUUCUGGGAGUCUGAAAGAUAAAGGAAUACUAGUAAUUUGCCUUGCUUCAAAAGUGUUGAAAAUAGAGAAAAUCAAGUCUCUUUUCCAUUGCUUGGUGUCCUGGUCAAUGAGAGCACUCACAACAGCAUCCUCAUGGAGAAUCUUCACUUGGCUCUGAACUCUCAAAGUGCUCAAGCUUGGGAGUCAGUUGUCCUUCCAAAUUUUGGUUGUCUCGUCAUUUCCAAUCCACCAUUUUCCCCCUUUUUCAAUUACUACUCUGGCACUCAUGAUACUCCUCCAGGCAUAGCUAGGCAUGUAACCUACUUUUGCAUCCAUGAAACUCCCUCAAGGAUGAUAGCGGCUUUUGAAUACUUUCCCCAUCAAAGUAUGCUCCCCAGUCUGCAAUCUCCAAAAAUGCUUACCAAGCAGUGCACUGUUAAAGUUGCUAAAUCCUCAUAACCCCAGACCCCCUUUGUUUUUUGUAGUAGACAUACGUUCCCAGCUCAUCCAGUGAAUUUUCCAAUUCAUAAAGACUUCAUAUUUACUUCAAAAUGAGUUGAAUAAUAAAUUUAAAGUUAAAAUUCAUUGGUAAGGCUAAAAAUAUAUCUCAGUUUCAAGUUAGAAUCUACUGCGUAGAAGUAAAAACAAAUCAACUCAUAAACACUCGAACAUGUUAAAACUCAGCCUUAUAUUUCUAGAAUAAAUUUUACCACACAAAAGUUAAUUAAAACAUCAGGUACAGCUUAAUGAUGAGAAAUAAAAUUAUUUAUUUAUUUUUUCCAAAAGCUAUCUUGGGAGGCUAGAAUAAAAAAGAACAUAUUUUUCCAGAAUAAGCUAAUCCAAACAUGCACUAGAUAAGAUAUCAAGUUUAGACUUCCAAUUCAUAAUUCAAACUACUAUCUAACUCAAGUUUCCUGCAUCACGAAAUAUGUAUCGUGUUCAAUUAGUUUUCUUGAAGAAAAUAUUUUUCUUCUAGUCAUUACUAUACCAUCAGAGUAGCUGGACACAUGAUAAAUGAAACCAUUUAUUUUGGGCUGGAAAUCUACAUACAGAAGUGUUUUGGGUUAAUAACACAAUAUGGUUGGAUUGCCAGCUAUAAGAUUUACGAAGGAUGAACAAAAGGUAAAAUCAUGAUUCAUGGAGGCAAAAGAAGUACACAAGGUUUCAGUCCUAGUGAAGAGCAAAAUAAUGAAGUGCAAUUAAGACAUUGUUUUCAAUAAAACAAUAUUCUGCAGACUAUAUAGCCGAAAUAAAACGAGGUAAUAAAGCAAGUGUGUGACAUCCAUGUUUUAAAACUCAAUACCUAUUGAUAAAACAAUUGAUUUGAAUCCAUCUUGAGUUCUCUAAUAAAGGGGUCCCUACUCCCUAGCAGCAAUAAGUUGAUCAGUAGAUACAGAAAAGAAGAAAAAAAGUCGAAGACAUUUGAUUUUAGGCAUCGGACAAACUGUUACUUUAGGAAAAAACAGUUAAACUUGUGGCAACAGAAUCUGAAAUCUGAAUUGACAAUACAAACUCCAAAGGAUGCCAGGUAUAUACAAGCAUCACAAAUAAAUCAAUUGUCCAUGUUAAGUCGCAAAACCUAAUCCACUAUCCCGAGUUUCACUCAGAAUUGCAGGCAAAACGUCCCAUUGUCCGUGCACACGUAUU